UACACUUAAGUGAAGCGAAACUCCACAUUCC
This 31-nucleotide non-coding RNA is filed under the name Mus musculus (house mouse). Lineage: Eukaryota; Metazoa; Chordata; Mammalia; Rodentia; Muridae. The record is from RNAcentral.